UCAAGCAUUUGGGCUAAUAGCCACUUAUCAA
Molecule: non-coding RNA, 31 nt
Filed under: Rattus norvegicus (Norway rat)
Lineage: Eukaryota; Metazoa; Chordata; Mammalia; Rodentia; Muridae
Source: RNAcentral